UACAGAGGGAGCGAGCGUUAAUCGGAAUUACUGGGCGUAAAGCGCACGUAGGUGGCGACGUAAGUCGGGUGUGAAAGCCCCGGGCUCAACCUGGGAAUUGCAUUCGAGACUGCAUUGCUGGAGUACGGAAGAGGAGGGCGGAAUUCCAGGUGUAGCGGUGAAAUGCGUAGAUAUCGGGAGGAACAUCAGUGGCGAAGGCGGCCCGCUGGUCCAGUACUGACACUCAAGUGCGAAAGCGUGGGGAGCAAACAGG
RNAcentral lists this ribosomal RNA (253 nucleotides) under uncultured bacterium. RNAcentral's name for it is "partial 16S ribosomal RNA". It matches the Rfam family "Bacterial small subunit ribosomal RNA", at positions 524 to 776 of the family's 1533-position model. The record is from RNAcentral.